UUACUCGUUUCGGCGGUACAUAUACUAAAGUUGGAAGGAUACAGAAAUUAGUAUGGUCCCUGCGCAAAGAUGACACGCAAAAUCGUCUAGUUGCACUUAGUUUU
Molecule: small nuclear RNA, 104 nt
Filed under: Schistosoma margrebowiei
Lineage: Eukaryota; Metazoa; Platyhelminthes; Trematoda; Strigeidida; Schistosomatidae
Source: RNAcentral